This is a non-coding RNA of Pongo pygmaeus (Bornean orangutan), 466 nucleotides long. The record is from the annotation of a RefSeq genome assembly. NCBI's taxonomy places the organism in Eukaryota, Metazoa, Chordata, Mammalia, Primates, Hominidae.
CAGCACAGCCCUGACUCUGCAGCUCUGGAAGAGGAGCCCCAGCCCUGGGAUUCCCAGGUGUUUCCAUUCAGUGAUCAGCACUGAAGACAAAAGACUUAUCAUGGAGUUCGGGCUGAGCUGGGUUCUCCUUGUUGCCAUUUUAAAAGGUGUCCAGUGUGAGGUGCAGCUUGUGGAGUCUGGGGGAGGCUUGGUACAGCCUGGGGGGUCCCUGAGACUCUCCUGUGCAGCCUCUGGAUUCACCUUCAGUAGCUAUGCUAUGCACUGGGUCCGCCAGGCUCCAGGGAAGGGACUGGAAUGGGUAUCAGCUAUUAAUAGUGGUGGGGGUAGCACAUACUAUGCAGACUCCGUGAAGGGCAGAUUCACCAUCUCCAGAGAAAAUGCCAAGAACACACUGUAUCUUCAAAUGAGCAGUCUGAGAGCUGAGGACACGGCUGUGUAUUACUGUGCAAAAGACACAGUGAGGUGA